RNAcentral lists this transfer RNA (84 nucleotides) under Echinostoma caproni. It matches the Rfam family "tRNA". Rfam says of the family: Transfer RNA (tRNA) molecules are approximately 80 nucleotides in length. Their secondary structure includes four short double-helical elements and three loops (D, anti-codon, and T loops). The record is from Rfam by way of RNAcentral. Lineage: Eukaryota; Metazoa; Platyhelminthes; Trematoda; Plagiorchiida; Echinostomatidae.
GGCCUCGUGGCUCAGCCGAUAGAGCGUGCGCUGUACAGAAGCGUCGGCGGCGCCCAUGCGUGGGUUCGAAUCCCAUCGAGGCUA